Long non-coding RNA from Drosophila sulfurigaster albostrigata, 542 nucleotides. RefSeq lists it as uncharacterized. The record is from RefSeq and is a predicted model, not a curated record. Lineage: Eukaryota; Metazoa; Arthropoda; Insecta; Diptera; Drosophilidae. The transcript is spliced from 2 exons.
CCAAACGUUUGGCAAUCUUCAGUCGUCGCGGUAUGACUUGGUAUUGUGUGUUACUCGAUAUGGCCUAUCGCGAAAGCAAGUUCAAGAAAUGUUAAAGCUCGAAUGACGCACACUUGACUCAGUCAAGGACAAAAUUUAAAAAAAAGGCUUUUUUCAGUACUUCGAAGAGUAAAUGCGGUGAGCAAUUGUGAAGUAAAUGAAACACAAAUUCAAUUAAAAUGUUAGAGAAUUUAAGUUUAACAAAGCAAUCUUGAAAAACUGAUUCAUCAUUCUUAAGGGAUCUAAUGAGUUGAUCGCUUUAAAUUAGACUUGAGUACUACCUAUAUACCUACAAUUAUUUACAUAUUAACAAGUGGACGGACGGGCAGAUAGUCUCGACGAUUAGCUGAGUUUCUCACAACGUGACGUGAUCUCGUAAGGGUCGAGAAGUAAACAAAGUUUAUUGACCGUCUAUCUCAAUGCCAGCUCAAAAUGGGUCAUCUUCACCAAGUUUCAAUAAGAUAGCUUCAAAAAUAAAAGAUAACUUCAAAUUAUAACAUGCA